CAUCUUGUACUCGCUCCAGCGCCGCCGCAGCUCCUCCUCCUUGGCGGGCAGGCUGUCCGGGCUCACAUCGCUGUACGGCAGCAGCGAGUGCCCACUCUGGGUCUGCUCGCAGAUUGAGGCUCUUCCGGCACUCGGUUAGGUGACGCUCGCGCUUCUUGCGCUCCUGUGACAUGGUCUCCUCCAGACACUGCAGCUCGUUCUGGAGGGGGGCAGGGGAACAGCAGGACCAGCUGGUACCUACUGUGGCUGAGGCAGUCGGAGCAGUGGGCCCAACUCAGAAGAGAUGGGCCAGGCUGCCAGCUCCUCCAGCUCGUGUUCCGCCUUCACCACCUCAGCUUCCAUGACGUCCACCCGGUUCUUCAAGUGACGGUUCUCUUCCUGGGACACGGGGAAUGGGGCAGGCCUGUGACCGCUGUCCCUGCCAGUGUGGCCCCCCCUGCCUUUGCCCCCACCCCAGGCCCUCCUGGUCCCUACCUGUAGCUGGGCCUUGAGCUGCAGGUGGUCCUCCUGCUGGAGCUCCGCCAGCCGCUUCUGCCGCAAGCCCACCUGAUAGUGCAGAGCGUUGAGCUGCUUCACCUUCUUACUCAGCUGGUGGUCCAGGUAGGGCCACUCCGACUUCCAUUCCUCAGUCACUGCCUGGACCACUUUCUCAUCUCUCUGCAAGGAGAGGAACCCAGUCACCAUGGAUCCAGGCCACCUUUACUUGAAGCAGCACACUCUCCCGGGGAUGCUGCCCAACCAAC
Molecule: non-coding RNA, 743 nt
Organism: Manis javanica (Malayan pangolin)
Lineage: Eukaryota; Metazoa; Chordata; Mammalia; Pholidota; Manidae
Source: RefSeq, a predicted model, not a curated record